AAAAACAUAAUAUAAAAUCUUAAUAUAUUUCACUUACACUGAAAGUAUGCUGGAAUUAACUAGCUGUUUUUA
RNAcentral lists this transfer RNA (72 nucleotides) under Struthiolaria papulosa. RNAcentral's name for it is "tRNA-Val". Lineage: Eukaryota; Metazoa; Mollusca; Gastropoda; Littorinimorpha; Struthiolaridae. The record is from RNAcentral.